CCCUUAGAUGUUCUGGGCCGCACGCGUGCUACACUGAGUGGAUCAGCGGGUCAGGUUGCGCGAAAGUGUUUCCUAAUCUUGAAAUCCGCUCGUGAUGGGGAUUGACGGUUGCAAUUUUCCGUCAUGAACGAGGAAUACCUUGUAAGCGCGGGUCAUCAUCCCGCGCUGAAUACGUCCCUUCCCUUUGUACACACCGCCCGUCGCUCCUACCGAUUGAGUGGUCCGGUGAGGCUUUGGGAUCUGAGCAAAGAGAGCGUUUCGCUCGUUUUGCCCGGAAAACUCAGUCGAACCUUAUCAUUUAGAGGAAGGAGAAGUCGUAACA
RNAcentral lists this ribosomal RNA (322 nucleotides) under uncultured eukaryote. Its description in RNAcentral is "partial 18S ribosomal RNA". It matches the Rfam family "Eukaryotic small subunit ribosomal RNA", at positions 1470 to 1796 of the family's 1831-position model. The record is from RNAcentral.